AGUGAACGCUGGCGGUAGGCCUAACGCAUGCAAGUCGAACGGCAGCACAGUAAGAGCUUGCUCUUACGGGUGGCGAGUGGCGGACGGGUGAGGAAUACAUCGGAAUCUACUUUUUCGUGGGGGAUAACGUAGGGAAACUUACGCUAAUACCGCAUACGACCUACGGGUGAAAGCAGGGGAUCUUCGGACCUUGCGCGAUUGAAUGAGCCGAUGUCGGAUUAGCUAGUUGGCGGGGUAAAGGCCCACCAAGGCGACGAUCCGUAGCUGGUCUGAGAGGAUGAUCAGCCACACUGGAACUGAGACACGGUCCAGACUCCUACGGGAGGCAGCAGUGGGGAAUAUUGGACAAUGGGCGCAAGCCUGAUCCAGCCAUACCGCGUGGGUGAAGAAGGCCUUCGGGUUGUAAAGCCCUUUUGUUGGGAAAGAAAAGCAGCAGGUUAAUACCCCGCUGUUCUGACGGUACCCAAAGAAUAAGCACCGGCGAACUUCGU
RNAcentral lists this ribosomal RNA (491 nucleotides) under uncultured bacterium. RNAcentral's name for it is "partial 16S ribosomal RNA". It matches the Rfam family "Bacterial small subunit ribosomal RNA", at positions 29 to 506 of the family's 1533-position model. The record is from RNAcentral.